UACAGAGGUCCCAAGCGUUGUUCGGAUUCACUGGGCGUAAAGGGUGCGUAGGUGGUGAGGUAAGUCGGAUGUGAAAGCUCGGAGCUCAACUCCGAAAUGGCAUUGGAAACUACCUUGCUCGAGGGUUGGAGGGGGGGACUGGAAUACUUGGUGUAGCAGUGAAAUGCGUAGAUAUCAAGUGGAACACCAGUGGCGAAGGCGAGUCCCUGGACAACUCCUGACACUGAGGCACGAAAGCUAGGGGGAGCAAAACAGG
Molecule: ribosomal RNA, 256 nt
Filed under: uncultured bacterium
Lineage: Bacteria
Description: partial 16S ribosomal RNA
Rfam family: Bacterial small subunit ribosomal RNA
Source: RNAcentral